CCAAUAGACUACACACGGAGAAAGGUGUGUAUCAGGACCUCUGGACGCGGGUUCGAAUCCCGCCGUCUCCACUA
Molecule: transfer-messenger RNA, 74 nt
Filed under: Staphylococcus haemolyticus
Lineage: Bacteria; Bacillati; Bacillota; Bacilli; Caryophanales; Staphylococcaceae
Description: partial transfer-messenger RNA
Rfam family: transfer-messenger RNA
About the family: Bacterial tmRNA, also known as 10Sa RNA or SsrA, is named for its dual tRNA and mRNA-like properties. Its role is to liberate the mRNA from a stalled ribosome. To accomplish this part of the tmRNA is used as a reading frame that ends in a translation stop signal.
Source: RNAcentral